AUUAAGUCGUUGAUAAAAUGCCAAUUUAUUGGGAUUUUGGAGGGUUAGAAACGUUGCAAGAAUGUGUUGUAUUGAAUUUUAUCCUUGUGUGAAUGUGAGGGAAAGAGUUGUGAAGAUUGUACUUUGUUAAAAAACAUAUUUUUAUAAAGUUGAAAUACAGAGCUGGUGCAUAAGAGAAAUUAUUGCAUGCCGGUGCAUGCACGGCCACGCUAGUGCAUGCUACCAAUCACUAUGACUUGUUAGCAUGAGUUCCAUUCAUUCUGUGCUCGUCUCAGUGAUUGGCCCACAACAAGACACCUUGGGCAUUAGUGGCAUGCAUGGUCAUGCUGGGGCCCGCGCCAUAAUUUUUUCAUAUGCAAACAUCUUGUUGCAUUAUGGUAUUUUCGUGAAUGAAUGUCACGUCCCAAAUUCGAGGCAUAAUACGUCCAUGAUACCGAGGAAUACAACCUACGAUAACACAAAGUCAACCACUACAUUUAGCUUUCAAAUCCAUUUCAAACAAAAUAUAAUAAAUAAAAGUCCAAUUUCACCAUCCAUUAAAUAAAACUAAAAAAUACUAGUUCAAAGUGACUAAAUCCAAAUAUAAAUACCAAACCCAUAAUUCUCGA
This 608-nucleotide long non-coding RNA is filed under the name Phoenix dactylifera (date palm). RNAcentral describes it as "long non-coding RNA (PDAC_LNC014669)". The record is from RNAcentral. Lineage: Eukaryota; Viridiplantae; Streptophyta; Magnoliopsida; Arecales; Arecaceae.